GACAGAGGAGGCAAGCGUUAUCCGGAAUGAUUGGGCGUAAAGCGUUCGCAGGUGGCUGUUCAAGUCUGCUGUCAAAGACCGGGGCUUAACCCUAGAAAGGCAGUGGAAACUGAACGGCUGGAGUGCAGUAGGGGUAGAGGGAAUUCCCAGUGUAGCGGUGAAAUGCGUAGAGAUUGGGAAGAACACCGGUGGCGAAAGCGCUCUGCUGGACUGCAACUGACACUGAGGGACGAAAGCUAGGGGAGCGAAAGGG
This 253-nucleotide ribosomal RNA is filed under the name uncultured bacterium. RNAcentral describes it as "partial 16S ribosomal RNA". It matches the Rfam family "Bacterial small subunit ribosomal RNA", at positions 524 to 776 of the family's 1533-position model. The record is from RNAcentral.